CUACGGGGCGCAGCAGCAGCGAAACCUUUACAAUGCACGAAAGUGUGAUAAGGGAAUUCCAAGUGUGCAUAUACCAUAUGUACUUUUUUCUAGUUUAAAACGCUAGAAGAAUAAGGGGUGGGUAAGACUAGUGCCAGCCGCCGCGGUAAAACUAGCAUCCCAAGUGGCAGUCACCAUUACUGGGCUUAAAGCGUCCGUAGCUUGUUUUGAAAGUCUCUGGUGAAAUCCUGCAGCUUAACUGUAGGGCUUGCCGGGGAAACUACAAAACUUGAGGAUGGGAGAGGUCGGAGGUACUUCUGGGGUAGGGGUGAAAUCCUAUAAUCCUAGAAGGACCAACAGUGGCGAAGGCGUCCGACAUGAACAUGCCUGACAGUGAGGGACGAGAGCCAGGGUCGCGAAACGGAUUAGAUACCCCGGUAGUC
RNAcentral lists this ribosomal RNA (422 nucleotides) under uncultured archaeon. RNAcentral describes it as "partial 16S ribosomal RNA". It matches the Rfam family "Archaeal small subunit ribosomal RNA", at positions 323 to 746 of the family's 1478-position model. The record is from RNAcentral.